UGGGGAAUAUUGCACAAUGGGCGCAAGCCUGAUGCAGCCAUGCCGCGUGUAUGAAGAAGGCCUUCGGGUUGUAAAGUACUUUCAGUCGGGAGGAAGGUGUCAAGGUUAAUAACCUUGGCAAUUGACGUUACCGACAGAAGAAGCACCGGCUAACUCCGUGCCAGCAGCCGCGGUAAUACGGAGGGUGCAAGCGUUAAUCGGAAUUACUGGGCGUAAAGCGCACGCAGGCGGUCUGUCAAGUCGGAUGUGAAAUCCCCGGGCUUAACCUGGGAACUGCAUUCGAAACUGGCAGGCUAGAGUCUUGUAGAGGGGGGUAGAAUUCCAGGUGUAGCGGUGAAAUGCGUAGAGAUCUGGAGGAAUACCGGUGGCGAAGGCGGCCCCCUGGACAAAGACUGACGCUCAGGUGCGAAAGCGUGGGGAGCAAACAGG
This 429-nucleotide ribosomal RNA is filed under the name Chloroflexota bacterium. Its description in RNAcentral is "Chloroflexi bacterium partial 16S ribosomal RNA". It matches the Rfam family "Bacterial small subunit ribosomal RNA", at positions 355 to 776 of the family's 1533-position model. Lineage: Bacteria; Bacillati; Chloroflexota. The record is from RNAcentral.